ACCGGGAUUGCCUCAGUAACGGCGAGUGAAGCGGCAAAAGCUCAAAUUUGAAAUCUGGGCCCUCCGGGGUCCGAGUUGUAAUUUGUAGAGGAUGCUUCGGGUGCGGCCCCUGUCUAAGUGCUCUGGAACGGGCCAUCGGAGAGGGUGAGAAUCCCGUCUGGGACGGGGUGUCCGUGUCCGUGUGAAGCUCCUUCGACGAGUCGAGUUGUUUGGGAAUGCAGCUCUAAAUGGGUGGUAAAUUUCAUCUAAAGCUAAAUAUAGGCCGGAGACCGAUAGCGCACAAGUAGAGUGAUCGAAAGAUGAAAAGCACUUUGAAAAGAGAGUUAAACAGCACGUGAAAUUGUUGAAAGGGAAGCACUUGCAACCAGACUCGCCCACGGGGUUCAGCCGGCUUUCGGGCCGGUGUACUUCCCCGGGGGCGGGCCAGCGUCGGUUUGGGCGGCCGGUUAAAGGCCCCCGGAAUGUAACACCCCUCGGGGUGUCUUAUAGCCGGGGGUGCCAUGCGGCCAGCCCAGACCGAGGAACGCGCUUCGGCACGGACGCUGGCAUAAUGGUUGCAAAUGACCCGUCUUGAAACACGGACCAAGGAGUCUAACAUCUACGCGAGUGUUCGGGUGGCAAACCCGUGCGCGAAGUGAAAGCGAACGGAGGUGGGAGCCCUCUCGAGGGGCGCACCAUCGACCGAUCCUGAAGUCUUCGGAUGGAUUUGAGUAGGAGCGUAGCUGUGGGGACCCGAAAGAUGGUGAACUAUGCCUGAAUAGGGUGAAGCCAGAGGAAACUCUGGUGGAGGCUCGCAGCGGUUCUGACGUGCAAAUCGAUCGUCAAAUUUGGGUAUA
RNAcentral lists this ribosomal RNA (836 nucleotides) under Geastrum cf. triplex B KH-2011. RNAcentral's name for it is "LSU rRNA". It matches the Rfam family "Eukaryotic large subunit ribosomal RNA", at positions 68 to 919 of the family's 3401-position model. Lineage: Eukaryota; Fungi; Basidiomycota; Agaricomycetes; Geastrales; Geastraceae. The record is from RNAcentral.